Molecule: ribosomal RNA, 210 nt
Filed under: Staphylococcus aureus
Lineage: Bacteria; Bacillati; Bacillota; Bacilli; Caryophanales; Staphylococcaceae
Description: partial 23S ribosomal RNA
Rfam family: Bacterial large subunit ribosomal RNA
Source: RNAcentral
UGUACCAGUUGUCGUGCCAACGGCAUAGCUGGGUAGCUAUGUGUGGACGGGAUAAGUGCUGAAAGCAUCUAAGCAUGAAGCCCCCCUCAAGAUGAGAUUUCCCAACUUCGGUUAUAAGAUCCCUCAAAGAUGAUGAGGUUAAUAGGUUCGAGGUGGAAGCAUGGUGACAUGUGGAGCUGACGAAUACUAAUCGAUCGAAGACUUAAUCAA